RNAcentral lists this long non-coding RNA (2020 nucleotides) under Zea mays. Its description in RNAcentral is "long non-coding RNA (ZMAY_LNC002368)". Lineage: Eukaryota; Viridiplantae; Streptophyta; Magnoliopsida; Poales; Poaceae. The record is from RNAcentral.
CGCACGAGCACUCAGCUAGUUAUAAUUUAAGCGAGGACAGGAAUCCACAAGCGUUCAUAGGGAUCCGCACGAAAAAAGAAAUUCGUGGCGGAGACAGGGAUAAGGAGCUAAAAACUGAUGAGGAAUAUUCCUAUGCCAUCCCUACACCCACCCACCCAAAAAAAGUUUGAGAAAACUAAAGCUGGCAAAACAUAUUCUGCAAACACAGAUGCAAUAAGACGCGAUCUAGCAGUACGCCAAAUAGAUUUGGGAAUCUCAGCUCAGGGGCGCAAAACCGCAAGACCUGAUUCCUGAAACCGAACAGCGUGUUUCCGACAUCUUUUCAGUGACAACUAGAACUAGCCACCACGAAACCGUCUGGAUGGUCCAGGAGCAAAUGCUUGCAACAAGUUCAGGAGAUUCCCGUCCAGUCUGCUUCAAGAUGGCAUGUGCAAAGCUUUAUCCCAAGCUUCUGCAACAGAGUUGCGGGACGUGUCCCGCAGAUUGUGAGCCAGUAUCUGCUUGUUCCCCUGAGCUACAGAUUAAAACGAUCAUAAAGUGUAUCAGAUCAAUCUUAUAGUAAUGAUAGGUUAGUUUAGAGUCAUGUCUUUUAGUAUAUAUUAUUUUCAAAGAAAAAAAAACAGUUCAACAAAAAUGUAGGCAAGUGGAGCACAUGUUGCAGCAAUUUGACCUCAAAUUAACUUAACAGCAUAUCUAAGUAAUGGGAUCCAAGGUCUAAGUUGUCAGCUACAACCUCAUGCUCUCUGCAUGAAUAUGCUAGCACCCAUUUGCUAAAAUGUUCCUCCUUUUAGCUGUUCGGCUGCUGGCUGAACAGCUGCUCCACAGCCAUCCUUCACACAUGGCCAGCUGCGGCAGCAUAAGUACAGCCGAACUUCUCUCCAAGGACGCAAUAGAGUUGUGCGUCAUUCCAAUAAGGAAAAUGCAAAAGAGAAGCAAAAGGCCUACUCCCACACACCCACACAAUGACACAAAAGCUUAUAAUUUGCUGAGUGAGUAUUCUUAGAAACUGGAGGCUUUGGCUGUCUUAAUAAGCAACAAGAGAAAUGCCUAGAUCAAGGGAAGUACUUUGGCCCUGAACUGUUUUUUUUUAUCAAAAACCAGAAACCGCAGGUCAGUUUAAAAUCAGCAAAUCUCUCCUGUUGACAACCAUGAAUACAGCUUGUGUUCUGGUAAACAAGUGUUGCCGUCAGCUCCCUACAAAUUUAUGCAGAAGCAGGGUGUAGCAAAAAAAAAAAGAACGAGAGGGGGCAACAAACUGAAAAAAAACACUGCCAUGUGAUAGCAGAGGCUCUGCGUUGCAAGCAGUCAAACAACAACAAAGCUGCCAUGCAGGUACCUUGGAUGCUGGUUUGAUCCAUAGAUAACGAUGAUUGCAGUGGAACAUCUAUGUUCCCCUUGAAUUUUUUUCUAUGCUCCAACGUGCUUCAUGAUAACACCUGGUGAAAAUUGCAGGGAACACCAGUUAAAAUCCAAGUACUGGUCCCCAGACACCUAAAACUAAAACUAGUGCAGCAGCCUAGAAUGUGGUGAAUGUAUCCAAAGCUAAAGAAUUAUUAAGCUUCUAAAAGCUUGCUAUGCACUACAGCAGCAGUAUAGAAGAAUCGGAUUAAUGACUACUACAAGCACUUUUUUUCAUUUCUAACCCAUUUUGUUACCUUUCCUAGCUUGACCACUGCAAUUCAGCAUAAACAAUACUGCUACCAUAAUAACAAAGGGAUCAAUUGAGAUGCAGAAUAUGGCAUCCAUUUAAAAUGUGAGCAACAAAUGUGUACGACAGCAUGGAAUCUUACUUGGAAGUUUCAGGUUAUCACGCACACAACAAAACUAGGGCCUCCAUCUUGCCAUGAAGCAUAAAAGAGUCCCAAGUUCCAGAAAAUCGCCACUAUCCACAGCACAUAUGGGGGAAAAUACUGUUUCACUUUCAUGUAUUUAUGGAUCAGGAGUGAAGCAUCAGGGCAAAUGGCUCACAUACUACUCCCAAGUGAAUAGGAUUUGCAUGCAUCAAUGAAUAUGUACCCAG